Molecule: ribosomal RNA, 466 nt
Filed under: uncultured bacterium
Lineage: Bacteria
Description: partial 16S ribosomal RNA
Rfam family: Bacterial small subunit ribosomal RNA
Source: RNAcentral
GACGAACGCUGGCGGCGUGCUUAACACAUGCAAGUCGAACGGAAAGGCCCUGCUUGCAGGGUACUCGAGUGGCGAACGGGUGAGUAACACGUGGGUGAUCUGCCCUGCACUUCGGGAUAAGCCUGGGAAACUGGGUCUAAUACCGGAUAGGAGCCAUUUUUAGUGUGAUGGUUGGAAAGUUUUUUUCGGUGUAGGAUGAGCUCGCGGCCUAUCAGCUUGUUGGUGGGGUAAUGGCCUACCAAGGCGGCGACGGGUAGCCGGCCUGAGAGGGUGGACGGCCACAUUGGGACUGAGAUACGGCCCAGACUCCUACGGGAGGCAGCAGUGGGGAAUAUUGCACAAUGGGCGCAAGCCUGAUGCAGCGACGCCGCGUGGGGGAUGACGGCCUUCGGGUUGUAAACGCCUUUCGCUAGGGACGAAGCUUUUUGUGACGGUACCUAGAGAAGAAGCACCGGCUAACUACGUG